GACGAACGCUCGCGGCGUGCUUAACACAUGCAAGUCGAACGAAGCUUGAUUACGGAUUCUUCGGAUGAAGUAUGAUAUGACUGAGUGGCGGACGGGUGAGUAACGCGUGAGUAACCUGCCCUUCAGAGGGGGAUAGCGUUUGGAAACGAACGGUAAUACCGCAUAAUGUAUUUUGACCGCAUGAUCGAAAUACCAAAGAUUUAUCGCUGAAGGAUGGACUCGCGUCUGAUUAGGUAGUUGGUGGGGUAACGGCCUACCAAGCCGACGAUCAGUAGCCGGACUGAGAGGUUGAUCGGCCACAUUGGGACUGAGACACGGCCCAGACUCCUACGGGAGGCAGCAGUGGGGAAUAUUGCACAAUGGGCGCAAGCCUGAUGCAGCAACGCCGCGUGAAGGAAGACGGUUUUCGGAUUGUAAACUUCUGUUCUUAGUGAAGAAUAAUGACGGUAGCUAAGGAGCAAGCCACGGCUAACUACGUG
This 479-nucleotide ribosomal RNA is filed under the name uncultured bacterium. Its description in RNAcentral is "partial 16S ribosomal RNA". It matches the Rfam family "Bacterial small subunit ribosomal RNA", at positions 28 to 507 of the family's 1533-position model. The record is from RNAcentral.